RNAcentral lists this transfer RNA (73 nucleotides) under Stegodyphus mimosarum. It matches the Rfam family "tRNA". Rfam says of the family: Transfer RNA (tRNA) molecules are approximately 80 nucleotides in length. Their secondary structure includes four short double-helical elements and three loops (D, anti-codon, and T loops). Further hydrogen bonds mediate the characteristic L-shaped molecular structure. tRNAs have two regions of fundamental functional importance: the anti-codon, which is responsible for specific mRNA codon recognition, and the 3' end, to which the tRNAs corresponding amino acid is attached (by aminoacyl-tRNA synthetases). tRNAs cope with the degeneracy of the genetic code in two manners: having more than one tRNA (with a specific anti-codon) for a particular amino acid; and 'wobble' base-pairing, i.e. permitting non-standard base-pairing at the 3rd anti-codon position. Lineage: Eukaryota; Metazoa; Arthropoda; Arachnida; Araneae; Eresidae. The record is from Rfam by way of RNAcentral.
GCCUUCGUGGUAUAGUGGUCAGCACGCUCGACGCGUAACCGAAAGGUCCGUGGUUCGAUUCCCGGGGAAGGCA